UUGUGGUAUGUGUGUUUGUCCAAGAAUAUGGUAGUUAUUAAAGUGAAGUAGAGAGUGGGGGAUGAGUGAAGAAGGAAGGAUGAGAGGAAGUGAAGUUUGAAGAAGAGAAGGGAAAAUGACGAUCGACGACGAUAGCUCCAUUUAUGUGGGAGGUCUCCCCUACGACGCCACCGAAGAAACCAUUCGCACUGUCUUUAAUUUGUAUGGUGCCAUCCUCGAUGUUAAGAUUAUCAACGACCAACGCACUAGGGGCAAGUGCUAUUGCUUUGUUACUUUCACAAACCCUAGGUCAGCAAUCGAUGCCAUCAACGACAUGAACGGCAGAACCAUUGAUGGGCGUGUGGUUAAGGUUAAUGGGGUGAGGGCUCGUGGGGGCAGGUCAAAUUUUGGCAGAGAGCGUUAUCAUUAUCAUAAUGAUGAGAGAAGUGGAGAUUGGGACCGCGGAAGAGAUCGAGAUUAUGAUCAUGAUAAUAAUGAUAGGGAUGGGUAUAGGAAUCGGGGCAGUGAUUGGACUCGAGACCGUGAUAGGUCUCGAGACCGGGAUCAGGACAGGGAUAGGAGAUUUGAGCAUAUGCAUGAUUAUGAUCAACCUAGAGAACCUAUUUUAGAUAAUGAUUGGAGUCGAGAGGAUGAUAGAGUUGAACAUGAACACGAACACAGCCGGGGGCGUGAUGAUGAUGUGGAUAGAGACCACAAUUUAGAUAUGGAUACAGGCCGAAAAAUGGAUAGGACCAGUGAUCUUGAUAGAAGUUUCGAUGAGGAUACAAAAGAUCAGUCGAGGAGAAUGAAUGAUUUGAAUGCUACAAAUGAAAAUAGUAUGGAUCUUUCAUCUGAUUCAGCUGGGACUCCCAAUGAUCAGGUAGAAGCUCAAUUAGAGAGGUCAACCCAACAGCUUGAUCAACUGAAAAAGGAGGUUUCUCAGAUGGAAGAGGGAUUGGAGAAGAAAAGACUCCAUGUUAAAGAAUUACAAAAGCAAUCUAAGAAACUGGAGGAUGCACUGAUCAAUGCAAAGAAAAACUCUUCGUAUCGUCAGAUGCAGUUGAUAAAGCUGCAUAAAUGUUUUCGGCAAGUGAAAGAUUACACAGAGCGACUUAAAACUAGUGAAAAAGAACUUCAGAUUGGGGUGGAAACACAACGGAUAGAAGAUCCACUGGAGCUUUCUUGAUCUAUUUUGGCCCAAUGCCAUAUCCUAGUCAUGCAAAAAGCAACCCACAGUUGCCCGAUCUUCUACUUAGGCAGAGUACUGCACAAUUUCCCCCACCACUGUUGAAGUUCUCUGGCUGCAACAAUUACUCCAUGAACUUGGAGUUUCUAUCUCCACACCAACAAUCUUUUAUGAUAAUAUUGGAGCUACCUACCUAUGUGCUAAUCUUGUAUUUCAUUCACGGAUGAAACAUGUCGCCAUAGAUUUUCACUUUGUUCAUGAAUUAGUUGCAGAAAAGAAGCUCAAUGUUUCACAUGUUCCUACUAGUCACCAGCUUGCCGACUUACUCACCAAGCCACUUUCAUCUUCACAACAUCACUUUCUCAAAUCCAAGAUCGGCGUUAUUGAAGAUACCUCGAUCUUGCGGGGGCAUGUAGGAGUACUAACGUCCAGUGAAAUAAAGCAGAGGACCUUGUUAAUCAUCAGCUACCAGGCAGUGGUGCAGUUGGCUAAAGAGCCAUGGGAUCUUCAAAGUAAAACUAAUGGCUUGGAUGCUCUGUUUCAUGGCCUAAAAUACUGCCGGAACAGAGCAAUAGAGAAGAAUGGAAGCACUCACAUAUUUGUGUUUGACCCAGGAGGAUUAAAAGUUAAUUGGGCUGUAGUGGUUCUGUUGGCUUGGACAUUCUGCUUUUAACAACUAGAACACAUAUGGGACUUUAUAUCAGAAGCCAGCUGUUCACCUUGGGGACAAUAUGGUGAAUCAUUUUUUUUUGGGGUAGUAUUGAUAAGUCUUUUAGUUGAGGGCCUUAGUUAAGUCUUAGUGAGUAACGUGGGCUGACAACAUAUAUAAAUAUGAAGAGUGGUUGAGAAGGUAGUUAUUCAUUGUGUGGGAGUUUGUAAAGGAAUUUACAGAGACUUGUACCUCCUGAAAUCCAGUUUUUGCUUUGUUCAUGAUUCUGAAACCACGUUGAGCCAGGAUUGGGAAUUGGGGUUCUUAAUAAAACUCAUUCCUUCAUUUAUAUCU
Cajanus cajan (pigeon pea) is the source of this 2168-nucleotide RNA transcript. It is a transcript of the gene named RNA-binding (RRM/RBD/RNP motifs) family protein, with no coding region annotated. NCBI's taxonomy places the organism in Eukaryota, Viridiplantae, Streptophyta, Magnoliopsida, Fabales, Fabaceae. The record is from RefSeq and is a predicted model, not a curated record.